This 72-nucleotide transfer RNA is filed under the name Heterocephalus glaber (naked mole-rat). It matches the Rfam family "tRNA". From Rfam's summary of the family: Transfer RNA (tRNA) molecules are approximately 80 nucleotides in length. Lineage: Eukaryota; Metazoa; Chordata; Mammalia; Rodentia; Bathyergidae. The record is from Rfam by way of RNAcentral.
AGGGAUGUAUCUCAGUGGUAGAGCACUUGCCUAAUAUGCAUGAGACUCUGGGUUUGACCCCCAGCACUGCAA